This is a long non-coding RNA of Chelonia mydas (Green sea turtle), 1977 nucleotides long. RefSeq lists it as uncharacterized. The record is from RefSeq and is a predicted model, not a curated record. The transcript has 2 exons. NCBI's taxonomy places the organism in Eukaryota, Metazoa, Chordata, Testudines, Cheloniidae.
UGCAUGAGAAGAGAAGUGCUCAGGAUAACAAACACAGGGUAAGUCUUCUCCACUCUUUACCUUGCAGUGCUGGGGUUGGACUUGUGUCCCAUGGCUGAUGGGCUGUGGUACUGAAAGCUGGCAGUAGACAUGGAGAUCCUCUCACUUGAAGCUGAGGGAAGCCUGCCAAGAGAGGGAAAAGGCUACAAACACCUGGAACCUGAAUUGCAACAGGUGUCAGGUCUGUGUGCUAUGGGAGAAUGGAAAAGCAAGAACACAAUGACAUUGUUUCAAAGGUGUGGGACAAUAUUAAGUCCCUCAGUUGCAUGAAAUAGCAUCCCGAUUUAUAUUUUGACACAGGUAACAUAGGCUCCUGUCCCUUCCCACGCCUGACACACACAACAUCUUAGAGAGAGGAGUAGCUUCUCAGAUGAUUAAUCCUGAGGCAGCACAGUGAAGGGAGGGUCAACUAAGAACUUCAAAAGACCAAAGUGUCAUACAGAAUCAUGUAGCUAUCUCUGUGAUGGCAGAGCCAUGGCCAAGUGGACAACCAGCACACAACACUGUACAACAGGAGAGGGAGAGAAACUACCUGGCCAGGUCCUUGGCACAAACUUUUAGCUUUAGAAAAAAAAUGCAGUGGGACCGUAAGUGCCCAUAGAGAGUAGAGUGGACUGUGGUUGUUAAGAUGUCACCAGAAAUAGCCAUGCCUAGCAACCUGUAUGAAACAUAACUAAUCUGCCUUAGAAGGAUAAAGGGCAGAGUUCAUCCUGCCUAGAGUAAAAUCUUGUGGCUCCAGGAUAUCUAGGAAUUCCAUGCCUGAUGUUCAUACCUAUAUGAAGUCCCUUCUGGGUGUAAACUACAGACCCAAUACUCACAGCCUGCAGGUCAUGCACCCUACAGAGUGUCAUGCUGUGCUUGUAUGGGCUUAAAUGCUGUAAAGUACUGUAGAAAAAUCCACCCAAUAUAUGAACUGCCAUCUUCAACAGGCCAGUGGCAUUUCUGGAGCCAAUCUGACUGAUCACUGGCUUUCUGGAGCUAGUGUACAGUGGGGUUUGCACUGCAUAUGGGAAGUCCACAAAUGGAAUGGCAAAGAAUCUCCAUCAAGCAUUGUGUAGAUGAGGACAUACCACAGACCCAUCCUGUGUAGCAUCUGCUGGGAACAACUAAUCCAGAUUAAAGACAGUCCUGUGCAUCCCAGUGGGUACAAGUGGUUCUUGUAACUGCAAUCAUUUUUCAGAGAGUGAGCGAUCACAUCACCUUCAUGACAUCUCUCUGCCUUGAACUGGAGGUUAAAGAUCUCAACUCUGCUUCCUGGCUCCCAUCCCAAAGCCCCUGACUGCAGGCUUUUCCCAUGGCCAUCACCAGCCCCAUCCCUUUACUUUCUGGUGUUAUACUCUGUGCUGUCCAUGCAUGCUGUGACUUCCCUGUGACAUAGUUACAAUACAAUAGUCUCUAGAAUGGGAGUAGUACCUGUUUGUGACAGGGUGUACCUCCCCUGCACUGGCCCACAGAGAUUAACUGUGCAUUGCAGGCCGAGGAGGACACGCCCCUCUGCUUCAGCAGGCUGCUGAAGGGAAAGGAUACAGAUUGCAGGCUCUGUCUCUGGAGCUGCUACAUGCCCCAGCUACAGAUCCAAGAUGCACCAAGCCCCAGACAGAUUCCAGGCUGCCUGCAGAACCCAAAGAAGGGACCGAGCCAUCAGCAGCUGCAUUGGCCAAGGACCCCAGAGACCCAGGGGAACAGUGAACCAACACCAAGGAAGACAGGGUUCCCAAGGAUCGGAGAGUCGCUCAUGUGUCCGUGAGCGAGUGGAGUGAGUCAUCUGUCUUUUUGGCAAAUAAUUUGGGCUGGCAAGUCUUCUACUGUGGAUUGCACCUCUUCGGGGAAGCCAGAAAGAUAGAGCCAUGAGGCCCUUCUCAUUACAGCCACCGUCGACACAGAUGUUGCAGCCCUGUCUUCAGAAUCAAGUGUUGCAAAUUGUUCUCCCUUGUCCUU